This is a long non-coding RNA of Alligator mississippiensis (American alligator), 10982 nucleotides long. RefSeq lists it as uncharacterized. Lineage: Eukaryota; Metazoa; Chordata; Crocodylia; Alligatoridae. The record is from RefSeq and is a predicted model, not a curated record. The transcript has 2 exons.
CCGCCCCGGGGCAGGCUGGGAAGUGGAGUCCGCCUCUCCGCAGCGCCCGCUGUCCAGCGGCACGGAAGGACUACGCUUCCCAGCAGGCCCCGCGGUAGGGAGGCGGGGCUCUGGGGCAUGCUGGGAAUUGUAAUUCACCCGGGCUGGCAGCCUCACGGCGGCCGGAGAUGAGAGAACUACACGUCCCACAACGGCCCGGGGCGCGGACGGAGACAGGCCGAGUGCACCCUGGGAAAUGCGAGUCAUGACUCGGAUGCGAGCAGGGAAGACUCCAAGACCCACAAGGCACCGCACGGGGCCCUGCUCCUCCCGGCGUUUCCUCGGCACUGCGGGAGGGGAAGAGCGCAGCUGGGAAGGGCCGGCCGGCCGCGUGCUCCCGGCGGACUUCCCGUUCAGCAUUAGUGACGGAAUCAAGUCGUAGUGCACCAGUGACGUCGUAGCCGUGACGUCAGGGGCAAGGAUGGCUCAGGGUGAUGUCCCUUUUGGAGCAAGGGCGUGGUGGGUAGGGUUGCCAACCCUCCCGGAUGGGCCGGGAGCCCACCGGAAUCGGCAUCCACCUCCCCGAGACUGUUGAAAGCAACCCGGGAGUUUUAAGAAAGGAUAUUUUAAAAAAAUGAAAUUCAUGACGUGACGUGACGUUGGAGGAAAAAAUCUCCCGGAAUAGCUUCAGUCAGAGUUGGCGACCUCAGUGCGGGGGGGCAGAGUCAGAAGCGCUUCUGGGAACGCCGUUGUUGCGGGAGGCAACAAAGCACAUGCGCCUGCGCUGCAACAGCACCCCGCCAGGGCCAGGGCCGGCUCUCACUCUCCCUUGUCUGCAGCUCGGAAGUCCCCGCGAGCCUGUCAGGGGGUUGCGUUGUCGUCUCAGCUCAAUACAGGGUCAGAUGCGGUCUUGGCUUUGGUUUUGGCGGCAGCUUUUCCUCCCAGUCUGGACAGAUGAAGUGGAGCUACAGCCCGCAGCGGCACCCCAUUUCUACGCAGUAGUAUUUGUACUCGUAUCUGCAGGAACAAAACGUAGCAACAAAAAUGCUUAGAUCAUUGAUCGCAUGUUAUUGUUCUGCAAAGGAAACCAGUUUUGCAUCUUUCUGCAGGCUGAAAAUAAGAGUUCCUUGUGAAUCCAUUACAAAACCCUGUUUUUGUUCUCUGUUUUCAUUUAAUCUACAAGCUACUUGUGUAAAUCAGGGGCUGACCUGAAGCAUUUAAGAUUUGAACAAAGCAAAACGCAAGCCUAAAAAUAUCAAGAAAAUGUCCUUCUUUGGUCGGUAGAAUGCAUCUUUCAUACACUCUACAGAUCUUGUAACUCUUAUUCACGUGGUUCAAGCAAGUAGGCCAAAUUGAAUCAAGUCGUCAAGACUGCAUAUUAAAGCGAGUUACGAAUGCUCUGCCAGGCCUUAGGAAAGUUAUCCACGGGGGAUCUGACGAGUCUAAUCUCUGCUGCACAGUAUGCUGUCAUCAUCUUCCAACACUAACAGACUACAGCUCUCUCCAAGUUAAAACAAGUUAUUUGCAUCCUCUGCUGGGAGAACAUUGCUGUUUCUCUUUAAAUACAUUUUUAUCUUCGCCAUUUGUACAUUGCAGAUGUCUUACCCAGUGAUUUCUAAGGACUGGCUGCCAAACAAAAGUUCCCAGAGACAUUUGCGUGUGUGCACCCCCCCCAGGUUAAAAAGAAAAAUUAAGUCGUGUUCCGGUCUAAAAAAAGCAAAGGCUUAUUCAGUGUGUGACUCCAGGCUCAGCACUGCAGUUUUGUUGCUGCUCUUUUCAAGGGAAGUGGUGCUGGCUCCUACCCUGGGGGUCUUUCAGAAGCGGCUCGAUGCCUACCUGGCUGGGGUCACUUGAGCCCAGUUUCCCUCCUGCCCAGGCAGGGGGUCGGACUUGAAGAUCUACAAGGUUCCGACCCUACUUCUACGAUUCUAUGAUUCUUUCCACAUACCGCCCCCCCACUUAUGAUUAAAAUUAUCACACAUGCACACACAUCUUUAUAGUUAAAAUUCUUUAGUUAAAAUUCGCAAUGGUGGUUAAAAUACCAUUGGAAAUAAAUUUUGAUGUGACCAUAUCGAAUGUACUGACCAACUCCUACCUAUUUCCAGAAUUGCGCUGAUGCACAAUGAUGAGGGUUCAAGUGCUAAUGGAACACUGUUUGCAAGUCAUUUCUAGGAUGCAUACACCAGGGCUCCCUUCCAUUACAGUUUCUCCCACCCCCAGCUUAUAGAUCGUGUUUUGAUGUUACAUUUUAAUAGAAGAGCAGCUCUUUUUCCUUCCCCAGGGUUUAUGCCUGUGUUGCUGCCUUCUUUCUGCUCUUCUCCAUACACUUUACUGUCUCUUCAGGGGCUUGCACUCUCUCACAUCCAUGAAGACAGCGGGUCUCAGCAUACCAAUUGUUCACCUGCAGGGAUCAUGUUACUAAGAUGGCCUCCAAUGUGUUGAAUGGAAAGGAGGAGUCUGUGCAACAUCUGGAUAUGUACUAGCUGGAACUCAGUAUUUAUUACUGACUUAAUAGUUCGAGCCAUUUUCACCAAUCAUUUGUGCUCUAGAUCUUCUGUACAGGUACUAUUUGUUGGAUUAACUUUUACCUGAGAGGGUUCUCAGACAUACCAAGAAACGUGGAACUGCUUAUUUCUAUCAGUGGGAGGCCUGCAAUAAAAAAGAACCUGAGAUCACCAAGGAAGAAGGGAAAAAGAAAGCAGGAGUGAAAGAUCAAAAGUAAGAAAUUCAGAUAUUGGCAGCAAAUGUAGAAAGCAGUUCAACUCCACAGGAAGCAAUACACUGCCAACACUGGCUACCACCUAAGGGAUUCCAAACACAAGAAGUCACUAGUGUAGUUUUUAAACACUUGGAUUAUUCAAUAUAAAGGCAUUAAAAUGAGAAAACUUUUGCUAAGCCAUAAACCAUGUGUUGAUAUUAACAGUUUGAAGAAUUAAAAGACUGAUUAGCUUAAGACCUGUGUUCUUUGAACACUGGCUCUGUUUGCACUGUAGAAGAGCAUGUUAAUAAAUUUGAGGCUGAACCUAGGGAAGAUUAGGUGAAAUAAUUUUUAAAGGAGUUUGGAGGAUGAGUUAGAGCCUACAGGGAAGUAAUUUAGCUUGACCUGCUAGUUCACUGGAACACAUUGCCUUUUCUUCAUCAGGACUUGCCUUGGAUAAACAAUGAAACUUUUUGCAGCAAACUGUCUUCUUACAUACAGUUCUAGAAAGACAUUGAAAUCGGCUGUCCAAAAGAUGACAAGAUAGAUGCAACUGUAUGUUAUACAACAUUUCUCAAAAGCACGAGUUUUAACUCCACUCUUAGACUAAGUACUUUUGCCUAGCUUUGAAAUGCUUAUUUUAUACAUGAUUUGGUUUUCAGUGAUUAACCAAGCACAGCAUGGUACUUGUACAUUUUUGUCUCAACCCAAAAACCAGAACAGUAUCAUUUUAGUGUUAGCAAAUGCACUGCAUCUUCCUCCACAGACUAAUUUCAGUGGGGAGACUGGUUCUUCCAUGAUCUCAGCAUUGAAAGGACAUUUGGGUGUCUGACAGAUUUUGACAGGUCCGGGCAAUGUAAAAAAGAACCUCAUCACAUGAAAAGAAAAUGACAAAACAUCCUGACCCAAUGCUAAAUGAGGUUGCUCUUAUUUUAGAUUUAGAAAGACAGCAUUUGUUUCUUAUUUUAUUUACUUGAAUGCAAGACAAGGUCCUCCUUGCCUCGUCAGUACUGGAGGGGAGAAGUGGGAGCCUCAACUUGAAUAGGAGUACAGGCCUAGGGCAGGCUGCAGCUUAGCUCUGGCUUUGUCCUCUGUUCUGAGGCUGAAGCUGGAGCUCAAGUGCUGCUGGCCCUGGGCUGGCAUGGCUCAUUUGGCUGUGGAAGGGGGUAUGCAGUAGGGGUCAAGUCAUCAAGAUUCGGCCCAAAUCAGGGACAGUGAUUCGAUUAAUUGGUUCGGAUCAUUGCCCCCGAUUCAAUUCAGCUGAAUCUGAACCUGAAGAGUCGAUGCCGAUUCGGACAAGGCACAGCUUUAAAUGUUUUUUCUACAUACCUUGAGGUAGCAGGUGCAGCUUGUGAACACUGCGAUGCUGGGGCACAUGGAGCAUCCCACAGGAGUGUGCUCUCCCCAGCAGACCCAGAAGUGCUUCCAGAAGUGGAUUGGAAAUGCUUCUGGGUCUGCUGCCGAGCUCACAGCCCCCCGUGGUCCUGUGGGACACGCCAUGCACCUCAGCAUCGCAACAUUCACAAGCCCCUGCUACCUAGAGGUAUGUAGAAAAAACAUUUAAAGCUGUCUCUAUGACCAUCUUUCUGAAUCAAUUCAGAGGGUCCUCUAAUUUGAUUCGGAUUCAGAGAUUUGGGUACCGAAUCGGGCUGAUUCUCCACCGAAUCAAAUCAGGAACCGAAGCUUCGCACAGCCCUAGUAUGCAGGGGAGACUGUAGGGUUGGGUGAGGGGAACCUGUAGUCUCCUUAUGGCUACACCCAACCCCCUGCUUCGUCUGCAGCCUGCUCCCCCCUACUCCAACCCUGACCUGACCUGGCGGGGAAGCUGCCAGCACAAAGGGGAGCAAAGAUAGCAGCUGUCACCCCCGUGUCCCCCAUUGCCAGUUGGCUGAGGGCUGCAUGUUAUGCCCUUUGCCCCUCCCUUGGCCAAUCAGCAGCAGCACAGAGGGGAGGGCACCGUGAAAAGACCACAAAAUGCACAGCAUGAGCAGUUCACAAUUUUGCUUUCACCUUGGCGCAAUUUAGUUAGAUCUGUAUUCAUUACAUCUUAUAGCAUAAUUAAAACUUUUAUGGAUUAAUUUUUUGGUGGUAGAAUUAAGGGAUAAUGGAAAUAAAGUACUUUUAAUGAACUAAUUUUUAACGUAAAAGUGAAUUACAUUUAAAAAGUGAUAUGGAUGAUGCUUAUGGACACUGGUGCACUAUUUUGCCACCGUUGCUCAUAUGACAAUCAGCUAAGAUGUUUCAAAAUGCUAAUAUUCUUAAUUUUCUUGUCAUUAUUUUUAGAAAUGUAAUGCUUCCUACAUCAAUUUGAUAAAAUGAAGAAGAUAUUUAGAAAUACGGUAGAUCAGAAUUCUUUGAUUCUCCCAGGUGUAUACUGGUGUUUUAGUCAUUUAAGUAUUAGUAAAUAGCGUAACACAGCAAAAGCAUCUCUAUGCUGACUUUUAUCUUGAUACUUGAACACAAAUAACAAGCCAUCUCAAUAUUGAUAGGAAGAGUCUCAAUGUCUGGAUGUGACAGCUCUUUCACUAGUGUUCAAUUAAAGGAGGAAAGCUACAAUAAUGUAUGCAGAAGUAGAAAGUUUUCGAAGACCAGCCCUGCAGCUGAUGAAAGUUCAUUUCCUUUUAUUCCAGAAUCUUUGUCCUUUUAAUUGGAUGUCCUUUAACAUUGUCCCCCAAUUUCUCUUACAGAUGCACAUUCUUUUGAUACCAGCAAAUUCUACAUUAACUUCUAAUUUGUGUUUUUCCAAGGGCAGCCUGAAUUGAAUUUUCAGUCACUGGGAGGCACGGGUUUUUUUGUGUACAUGAAUUCUGAUUUCUCUGACACUAAACUAGUGCACUGGUCUUUAUGUGGUAAAUGGGAGUUAGAAAGCCAGCUGAUAACAUUUUUGGUGACAGUUAUUUGAAAUGAAACAACAAUAAUAACAGUGAUGAUUAACAGUUCUAUUACAAGCUCAAAUGCCAACUGGUGAUAAACAGGAAGAGGAAUGUUUGGAGCUCAGUUUAGUCAAGAUUAAGUAACCUAUUGCAUUUUUCAGAAGGAGUUUCACAUGACAGAAUAUUCACAAUUAUAUUAGUUGAAGCAAAAUGCCAUUUCAUAACACAAGAAAAACAAUUAGAACAUUAGAACAUAUAUUGUAUUUAACUCACUUCAACAAAAGAUCAACUGGUGCUCUAAAUAAAGGGGCGAGGAGGUAGCAGCAGGAUGCAGGUAGCAAGCUACUUCUCCCCCUAGCCAGAUGGGGAACCAUUUAGUAACGGGGGAAAAUACGGUCAUCUCUUUAUUGUUCCCUUUUAGUUUUAAUCUCUUUUGCUCCCAGGUAGUUCUACCCUUACAUUCCUCCAACUGUGCCCUUCACCUCAUUUGCACCCCCUACUUCUGCACAGUCCCAUCAACCCAACCUGAUAUAAAGCUUCACCAACAUAUUCCUUUAUGCUCACACACUGGAUGGAGCACCCAGUCUUCCAUACUUCUAAAGUGCUCUCGAGUGCCUCUUCUCAGCCAACAUCCACAUGACCUCUACAAAGCUACCGUUUCACAUUUUACAUCCAGAAAAAGUCUAACCCUUUCCCUUUCUGUUACUACUUCAUCCUUGCUCAGAAGCAAAAAUGCAAGCACUUCUUGUGGCCAGAAGUAGGUUACAGAAGCACUGGGGAAAAGACUAUGGUUAGAAGGAACAGACAAAGUGGCAACAGAUCCUGCUUAAGUUCUAUCAUCAUAUAAGCCUAGAGAAGCCUUAUUUUUUUUGUGAUGUCUCCUUUCUCUGCUUGCACUCCAUGUACAGCAAUAAGAGACCCCAGGGGCCACAGCAGUGUCCACUCCAUCAGGCGUUCCUUAGUGACAACAGAUGGUGCUUGACCCUGCAUAGCUGACAGCUGUGGCAUUAUACUGGUGAGCUCCAUUAGCUCUAGCUAUUGCUUAGCCAUCCAUGGUUAAAUAGUUAUUAAAAUAACUCCACAUAAACACAGAGACAAGGUUCAGUGCAAUAGUGGAGGCAAAAAGAAUUAAAAAGGGGGUAUUCCUCUGCAAUAUAUGCAUAUUUUAUGGCAGUGAUUUUAAUUUACAUUUAACAAGGAGAGCAAGAAAAAGAAAUGCUACAUCCAGAUACAUAAUGGAGUCCAAGUUUAAAAAGCACUCUAAAGCUAAGACUGAGUGACCGAAAAGGUAAAUUAGUAUCUUAGGAAACUGUAAUAAAAACUGGAAUUUAGCUUUAAAUAUAGCAUUUGCAAAUGGCAAAUGCGGUGCGGGUAUAUGUAAAGAAGCUUCCCAUGACUCUCUGUACUGACUGUAAAUGAAGUAAGUGUUACAUUUUAAAACAAGGGGCACCUACACACGUGCCCAGUGUCUGCCCCAAUGAGUGCUCAUUAGCACAUAUUGCAGCAGACUUGAUUAACUGAGUCUGGUGGAGCAUGUUAAUUAACAUCCAGCAGCCUUGGCAUCUCACGUAGUCAGCAUCCCCAUGUUUCAAAAUGGUGGUGGUGGUGCUUUAACUAAAGCUUGUUGAGACACUGCAGGCUCUUUAAUUAGAGUGGCUUCCAAGAGCUGCUCUAAUUAAAGCACCCCCCACCCCUACCCCCAUCCCAGAGCACGUAAAGACACCCAAGGAGCCCAUUGAAGUGACCUAUAAACUGAUCUGACAUAUUUUGGCAAUCAAGUAUUCCAGUCCACUUAAAAACAAACAAAGAAACAAAGCAAGAGGGGUGUAGGUUGUAGCCAUGUUGGUCUAAGGACAUAGGCAGACAAGGUUCUUUGAGUGAAUCUGGCAUCUUUUACUAGACCAACUUAAAUAGUUGGAAAAAAAUUUUUUUAGCAAGCUUUCGGGUUUAAAACCCCUUAGUUGGCUAAGGAAGCCUCUGCAGUUGGUGUGUGCUCUUCCUGGAUGGAAUGAAUAGUAAAAAAAGCCAGAGGCUGGGCUGGUAUGCAUCCAAGACAGGCAGUCAGUGAAAAUGUAAACUGAGGAGUCAGUGGGUGAGAGACAGGCUGGGUGGGGGGAGAGAGAAAAGGGGGUGAAUGUAACCGUGGAAUAGUGGAGAGGUACUUGGGGAGUCAGAUGUUAGGCAGGUUAUAUGUCAUUAAUCCAAUAUCUAUAUUUAGUCCAUGAAUUUUUUGUAUCCAGAAGGUUGAUGAAGUGAAGUUCGUAAGCUUGUCUCUGAAAAGUGUUUUGUAAGUUCCCUUUGAGGAUUAGAACGGAGAGAUUGGAGAGAGUGGUUUUCUUGUGAGAAAUGUGCUCCCACAGGUAGUUGGAUAUUCUUGUCUUUUUGAUAGAUUUUCAGUGUGCGUUCAUUCUGGUGCACAGUUGUUGUUUGGUCUCCUACAUAUUUUCCAUCAGGGCAUUUGAUGCAUGGGACGAUCGAUCGAUCUAUCUAUCUAUCUAUCGUUGAAAAAAUAGAUAUAUAUAUCUUUAUCUAUGUAGAUAUAUAUAGUUGGAAAAAAAAUACAUUGGAUGAGAAUUUUUUUCCCCAACUAUUUAAGUUGGUCUAAUAAAAGAUAUCAGAUUCACCCAAAGAAAGUAAGACGCACUCUACUUUCCCUACACUGAUUCUGUAGCAGCAAGACCCUACCACAGAUACAUUAAGUAUUCAAAGUAUUACUUUGACUCGCAGUGAAAACAGACUGAAGGGACUCACCACCUAACAUGAAAAAUAACCACGUACCCCAUCAAGCUGUGCGUGUGCAAACUCAUGCAUAUAUCCACAUGAUAUUUAACUAUCCUCAGCAUUUACCCUAGAGUUAAUUGGUAGCCUGUUAUCAACCCCCCAGCUAACUCAACAUUCAAGAGAAACCAGAGAUAGAGCAGAAAGACAUCUCCCAAUUAGCUACUUGCACCUGGUUGGCCUCAGUUGUUCACUAGUGACCAGACCUAGUAAAGGACUGAGAUGCUGUAACACCGAAAAUAAGUUUUCAGUGUCUGGUUUCAGAAACUGACACCGAGUUGAAUCUGUUUCUAGGUUCCCUACCUACAUAGGGUACAGGGAGAAUUCAGUCCUCCUGAAUGCAGUCCAAAGUGCCAGAACAAUGAGCAGGUAACUGCUUAGAGGUAUGCAAGGGAAGAUAAUGAGCACAAGGGCAUAUCUGAAAGUUCACCCCUUUCAGAGGUUAGGCUGCAGGUAGGCACCUCUAUACACUAAGAAUUCAUAGCCUGGAAUUCACUCCUGAGUGUAGGUUCCCAUAACUAUUCUUGCAAGGAACUAAGCUGUCAUGCUCUUUGAAACCAACGAUAGCCAUGGUGUUUACUUUUACAUAGCUGACUACUGGUUAGAGCUCUUGGCCAAAAAGCUGAAAACCUUCUUAGCCAGAGGGGGUUCAAACCCACAGCUCCCUGAGAAACUGCACUACUCACUAGGUUAUUUAUACAAGAGAAAGACAGCACCACUCCUGCAUUUUGAAGUAAGUGGCCGCAACCACAUUUAAGGAGCCUGAUCCCAAAACUGUUAGAUGAUUGCCUCCAAGAUUGGGUGUCUCAGGGAACUUGGGCAGAGAAAUCUCUAGUUUCUGGAUCCCGAUAAGAUCCAGAUGGACGUUACUGAAGGGGGAUCAGUCCUGAGCAUGCACAGACGUAACUCAAGUUCUCCAGGUGCCCCAAGCUUGGUCAAGGAGAAGCUAGUGAAUGUAAUGGCUCCAGGUCUAGGCAGCAGCUAAACAAGGGCUUUUUGAACUGCAACCUUGGAUGUUGGGGGAGGGGAACUUCCCAACUGUACGACUGAUGUUCUUUGCUGUUUUUUGUAGUAUAAGGAAGAUAAGGAGCACAGUUAUCUCAGGUGCUAUAAAAGCAUACUUUGAAUUGUUUUGUUUUUUUUUAAUUUCCAUGGUGUAUUUAUCCUUAGCAAUUCAUUACCAUGCAUGAUAUUGUUAAUAUUUAUAAAGCACUGAAAAUACUUUGAUGAAAGGGGCUAUAGAAAAAAGUUAUGGUUUGUAAAUGGGAACCCCAGUUUGUUUUUAUAAAAUAUUUUUGUGUCCUGUCUCUGCCAUCUGAUACAGUCUUCUUCCAUCUUGCUGAAAAUAAUGCAUUUUGUUGCUGCUUUGCUAGAAAUCCUUUCAGAGAUAUGUAUUUCACAUUUUAAAAGGGAGACACCAUGGAACGUCUAUUAACGGGACUGCAGGAAUAUUACAGUUCUUUUCUUGGUGUAAUGGAGUCCUUUAUAUUUGUACUAAAAGUUAAAAAGUUAUUUUACUGAAUAUUUCUAAGUCUAUCCAUAAGCCUAUUUGUAACAGUCAAAGUAAAUACUAGAUUGUAUUUUUAAUCUUUAACUUAAAUGCUACCAUCUCAAAUUUGUGACCAACUCUUACACUUGUGAUAAUCUGUACACUCAUUCAAAAAUCCUUUGCUAAAUUUAGCUUCAUGGUGAGCAAGUAAAAUUCACGUGUUCUUUAUUUUCGUCCAUAUAAUACACCAUUUUUAGAAUUUUAAAAUUAGAUAAAAGAACAUAUUAAAUGGCAGGUGUAUGAAGUUCUUCAUAAACAACGUCAGAACAAAAUUUGAAUUACAAAAUGUUAAAAAAGAUGCAGGUACAUUUGAACUUAACAUCUCACUAAAGCAAAAAGAUACAGAUAUUGUCUAAAGAAAAAUAAUUGUGCCACUUACCUAUUCUUGCUGUUUCUAGGAACUUUUUUAUUCUGUACAUAGGACCAUUCUGUACAAAAUAUGAAGUCUACAUUUUUAUUACUUAUUACCAUAAAACAAAGUACAAUGUAUGUACAAUAUUAAAAUGAAGCCAUACUGAAGCCACACUAAAAAGACACUUGGAAUAUUACUUUUGACAUUCCUGAUGUACAGGUGUAAUUUUUGGGAACAGGGAAGAUGUUGGACACAGAACUUUAUGAAGAACAACAGUCACCAAAAUUCUACUUUAUUUUUCACUUUUUAUUUUGGCUGUAUUGGUUUUAGAAUAGUUUAGUACAGGACUAUACAAAGUGUAGAAAUGGUGGUAACAAACAUGUGAAAGCAUUAGUGCUGAUAAAUUUUGGAAUACUGUCUAGGCAAAUGUUCUAUGGCCCAAAACUUAAACAUUAAUUUCUGACAAAUGUAAAUUUGUAAAAAACCAUGGUAUUUCCCUUUUUGGUGAAUGUUUAUCUUCAAUAAAGAACAGAAAUAAAAUUCAGACAGUGAAAGAUGUUCUUAUAUGUUGAGCAUUACACAGUCAACCAAACACUGAUAUACAAUUUUUUUCCUAGGGUAAAAUAAGAGUAAUUCUUUUCAGAAACCUCUUGCACAAACAUAUUCAACACCCAAAAAUCAAAGAUAUUUGAAAAUCUACCAGCUAAAGAUGGAAGUUCAAACAAUGGUAUAUCAAAAUACAUAGACAUUGCU